UUGGAUAGGUCUGGAUAGUUGGAUAGGUCUGGAUAGUUGGAUAGGUCUGGAUAGUUGUAUAGGGCUGGAUAGUUGGACAGGGCUGGAUAGUUGGACAGGGCUGGAUAGUUGGACAGGGCUGGAUAGUUGGACAGGGCUGAAUAGUUGGAUAGGGCUGGAUAGUUGGACAAGGCUGGAUAGUUGGACAGGGCUGGAUAGUUGGACAGGGCUGAAUAGUUGGAUAGGGCUGGAUAGUUGGAUAGGUCUGGAUAGUUGGAUAGGUCUGGAAAGGUCUGGAUAGUUGGAUAGGUCUGGAUAGUUGGAUAGGUCUGAAUAGUUGGAUAGGUCUGGAUAGUUGGAUAGGUCUGGAUAGUUGGAUAGGGCUGGAUAGUUGGAUAGGGCUGGAUAGUUGGAUAGGUCUGGAUAGUUGGAUAGGUCUGGAUAGGUCUGGAUAGUUGGAUAGGUCUGGAUAGGUGGAUAGGGCUGGAUAGUUGGAUAGUUCUGGAUAGGUCUGGGUAGUUGGGUAGGGCUGGAUAGGUCUGGAUAGUUGGAUAGGGCUGGAUAGGUCUGGAUAGUUGGGUAGGGAUGGAUAGGUCUGGAUAGGUCUGGAUAGGUCUGGAUAGUUGGAUUGGUCUGGAUAGGUCUGGAUAGUUGGAUUGGUCUGGAUAGGUCUGUUUAGUUGGAUAGGUCUGGUUAGUUGGAUAGGUCUGGAUAGUUGGUUGGGUCUCGAUAGUUGGAUAGGUCUGGAUAGUUGGAUAGGUCUGGAUAGGUCUGGAUAGUUGGAUAGGGCUGGGUAGUUGGAUAGGUCUGGAC
Long non-coding RNA from Oncorhynchus tshawytscha (Chinook salmon), 792 nucleotides. The record is from Ensembl. Lineage: Eukaryota; Metazoa; Chordata; Actinopteri; Salmoniformes; Salmonidae.